UGUACCGCAAAAGAAAAAAACAUUUUAAUCACCCCAACAAGAAACCAUGUACCUAUUAGCACUUGUUCCCUAUUUUCCCUGAGCACUUCCAGUCCUAGGGAACCACUAAUCUACUUUCUGUCUCUGUGGAUUUGCCUAUGCUGUAUGUUUCAUAUAAAUGGAAUCCUAUAAUAUGUGGCCUUUUGUGUAUAUAUAGUAUGUUAGGUAGAUACAUAUAUUUAAUGUGUAUCUACACAAUGUUUUCAAGGUUCAUCCAUGUUGUAGUAUGUAUCAGUGCUUCAUUCCUUUUUAUUGCUAAGUAGCAUUUGAUUGUACAGAUAUACCACAUUUUGUUUAUCCAUUCAUCAGUUCAUGGACAUUUGGGUUAUUUUCACCUUUGAGCUAUGAUGAAUAAUGCUGCUAUGAACGUAUACCUGUUUUUAUGUGGACAUAAUGUUUUCGUUCUCUUGGGUAUAUACCUAGGAGUGGAAUUGCUGGGUCAUAUGGUAACUCUGUGUUUAACUUUUUGAGCAACUGCCAGAUUAUUUUCCACAGUGGCUGCACCAGUCUGCAUUCCCACCAACAAUGGAUGAUCCUAUUUGUCACAUCCUCGCCAACACUUCUUAUUAUCUGACUUUUUGAUUCUAGCCAUCCUUGUGGGUGUGAAGUGGAUCUGAUUGUGUUUUUUUGAUUUCCAUUUUCCUGAUGGCUCAUGGCAUUGAGCAUCUUUUCAGGUGCUUAUUGGCUGACUGUAUAUCUUCUCUGGAGAAAUAUCUAGUCAGAUUAUUUGCCCAUUUUUCAAGUGAGUUAUCUUUUUAUUAUUGAGUUGUUAGAAUUCUUUAUAUAUUCUAGAUACAAGCCCCUUACCAGAUUUGCAAAAAUGUUCUCCCAUUCUGUGGGUUGUCUUUUCACUGUCUUGAUGGUGUCUUUUGUAGCAUAAGCAUUUUUUAUUCUGAUGUCCAGUUUAUCUAUUUUUUCUUUUGUUGCUUGUGCUUUUGGAAUCAUAUCUAAGAAGGCUUUGCCUAAUCCAAUAUCAUGAAAAUUUAUGCUUGCAUUUUCUUCUAAGAGUUUGUUUUACCACGUAUGUUUAGGCUUUUGAUUCAUUUUUGGUUAAUUUUUGUGUAUGAUGUGAGAGGUAAGAGGUCCAACUUUAUUCUUUUUAAAAAAAAAUUUAUUUAUUUAUGUUUGGCUGCAUUGGGUCCUCGUUGCUGCACACAGGCUUUCUCCAGUUGGGGCGAGGAGGGACUACUCUUCGUUGUGGUGCAUGGGUUUCUCACUGGGGUGGCUUGUCUUUGUUGCAGAGCACGGGCUCUAGGCGCAUGGGCUUCAGUAGUUGUGGCUCGCGGGCUCUAGAGCACAGGCCCAGCAGUUGUGGCACACGGGCCUAGUUGCUCCAUGGCAUGUGGGAUCUUCCCAGACCAGGGCUCGGGCCCGUGUCCCCUGCACUGGCAGGCAAAUUCCCAACCACUGCGCCACCAGGGAAGUCCCCCAACUUUAUUCUUUUGCAUGUGACUAUCCAGUUGUCCCAGAAUGCUUUGUUGAACUGUCGCAUAAUGUGCCCCAAACACAUAUGCUUGGAUUUCUAUGCAACACUGACAUGACCAAAGUCCCUCCCUGGUGCAGUAAGACAGACCCCAGCAGACCAAUGCCUGGCAAGCAGCAGAUCCUCAAAAAAUGUUUGUCAGAUGAAUGCCCCCAAGUUCAGGGGUUGGAGUCCCCUUCACUCUGUGCAUGACUCUGGAAAUGUUUCCUCCACGCGGCCACUUGGCCACAGUCUAAAGAGGUGCCUUGGUACCCUUGAGUAAAGGGGGCAAACUAGCAGCGCUCCUACUGCCUGAACCAGAUCUCAGGAAAAAAAAUCCCAAAUCUUUUUUUGAGGCUGCCAGGGAACAUGGUGGGUCAAGGGAAACGAAGAGAGAAGAUUGGGGAGCCGCUGGCUUGGAUGUGAAACAGGACAGGGGACCUUGAGUAACAAACGAAGAAGCACCUGUACUCAAGGUCAACAUUUCUUGCCUUAAGCGUCAAGAGGCAAAAGCAGGGGAAAGCUCUUGGCUGGCAGAUGAAAUGAAAAGAUAAAAGCGCUGGCAGCCGCCCCAGACAUCUCUGCACCGGCAAAAGCUGCAUCAUAUCCUUUGGGCCAAGUGGAGACGCAGCCUGGGGACAGCCAACUUCUGGAGCAGGGGACAGAUGAACCUGGGGUCUGUGGAAGGAGAAGGCACCCUUGCAGGGGAAAUGUGCUGGUCAGCAGAACCUCACGAGACAGAGGCUGGCUUCCCGUUGGCUUCUCCAGGAAGCAGGCACUGUUUGUCUCUCUCAGCCCUGACACUGCAGUAGCCUGAUAAGAGGCCAGGAGCUGGGGAGCCUCUGGUGAGCCAGCAGCUUCCAAGUGGCUGCAGGGUCACAGCAGGGGACAACUCCUUACUCCUCAGCCCCUUCCACUCCCCUCUCCAGUCCUGGAAACACAGAGCACAGGCUCCGGACGCGCAGGCUCAGCGGCCACGGCUCACGGGCCCAGCCGCUCCACAGCAUGUGGGAUCUUCCCGGACCGGGGCACGAACCCGUGUCCCCUGCAGCGGCAGGCGGACUCUCAACCACGGCGCCACCAGGGAAGCCCUGUUCCUGUAGUUUUGAUGAUGUAGCCUCCAUGAAAGAGUAGUCAUUGAGCUGAUGGAUGCAAAGCAGUCACUUGACCCCUCCUUCGCAUGUUUGUCCCCGUGGAGCUGGGAAUGGUGGCCUCCCAAGACUGGACCCAUGACUGAAACGGAGCCGAGUUUUGCUUCGUACGAAAUCUAAAAGGUGAAAUAUUCUCAGCAGAAUUCAAGAGACCCAUGCAAAUCACUGAGUGAUUUCAGGAGACCCAGAAAAUUGCCCCAAAACCUGUCACUGAGAAGAGCUGCAGCUGCUAAUGAAGGUCUUUACAGCCCGCGUGGAGCAUCAUAGGACCGGAAUUCUCCUCCACUGGAUGAGUUCUGUCAGGAAUAUGAGUGAUUUCCCCACCCAACGUAACCAGUCUCUUUCCUCACCUAACCUAAUCAGGAAGGAACGCAGGCACUAUCUCAGGCCAUUUCACACCCAUGUAUCACCUCCCAGAGAGCAAGCACCCCGUGGGUGGGUGCCACGCAGCCCUCCUUUUAUCCCCUGCUUCUACACCAUGUCGGGCACAUAGCAGGAUCUGGGCAAAGCCUGAAUUGAAUUAUGAUCUAAGGGGAGAGCCACAGAGACCUGAAAUUUAUUCUUCAAGGAGUUUACUCUUCUUAAAAAAUUCUUUUAAAUUAGGUUUUAGAUAUAAAAAGAUCAAUCUGCUGCUUUAUUUUAUUACUCUUCUGUCAUAUUAAACUGUAACCCUUGGUGACUUAGGGUCGUAACAAGUGAAGUCUAUAAAACAAAACAGCAGGUGUGUUAAAAUUGCCUAUAUUUUUCAAAAGUGGGCCCUUAAAGUCAUCCUGCGGAAAGGCCAGGGGUUCUAAUAUGCAAGGAAAGAAGACAUAGUGUUUUAUUGUCUACUUGCCUACCUAAUAUCCAUUCUCCCCUUCUUCUACUAACAAAUCCUUGAUUUUUUACAGUGUGGCAAUGUACACAGUUAUAACACUACAUUUCCAAGCUUCUCUUGCUGCUAAAUAGGGCCACGUGAUUAAGUUCUGGCCAACGAGUUGUAAGCAGAAGUUAUCAAGUAUUACAGAAUUUAUGAAAAGGGGGAUAGACAGCUGGCAUGUGCUUUUUUCAUAUUCUUCCUCCACCUGCUCCUUGCUUCUUGCCUGGAAUGCUGAUGUGAUUGCUGGGGCUCCAGCAACUCUCUUGGCUCAUGAGGUGACAAUGAGUCUGGAAGUCACAGGCUAAGAAUGAGAGAAGAAAAAGGUAGGAGGAGCCCAGGUCCCUGAUGACACUGUGGACCUUUGAC
Molecule: long non-coding RNA, 3877 nt
Organism: Globicephala melas (long-finned pilot whale)
Lineage: Eukaryota; Metazoa; Chordata; Mammalia; Artiodactyla; Delphinidae
Source: RefSeq, a predicted model, not a curated record